Non-coding RNA from Bos taurus (domestic cattle), 73 nucleotides. NCBI's taxonomy places the organism in Eukaryota, Metazoa, Chordata, Mammalia, Artiodactyla, Bovidae. The record is from Rfam.
UCCCUCGUGGCUCAGAUGGUAAAGAAUCUGCCUGCAAUGCAGAAGACCUGGGUUCGAUCCCUAGGUCAGGGAG